Molecule: small RNA, 364 nt
Filed under: Pongo abelii (Sumatran orangutan)
Lineage: Eukaryota; Metazoa; Chordata; Mammalia; Primates; Hominidae
Description: processed transcript
Source: RNAcentral
GACCGGCGCCUUCUCCUUGCUUCUGGGGUCGUGGCCUUGCUCCCGCUGUGCGGGAAAAGAAUCCAGGCCCUUCCACGCGCGUGUGGGCGCGGGGGCCCCGAAGUGCUCGUGGUUCCCCGCUAGGUCUCCGCUGGGGCAGGAACCGGAGUCAUGGGUGGGACCACCAGCACCCGCCGGGUCACCUUCGAGGCGGACGAGAAUGAGAACAUCACCGUGGUGAAGGGCAUCCGGCUUUCGGAAAAUGUGAUUGAUCGAAUGAAGGAAUCCUCUCCAUCUGGUUCGAAGUCUCAGCGGUAUUCUGGUGCUUAUGGUGCCUCAGUUCCCCUAAGGACCCCUACCUGAUAACACUUUUAAGACUGGAUCC